UACAGAGGGUGCAAGCGUUAAUCGGAAUUACUGGGCGUAAAGCGCGCGUAGGCGGCUGCCUAAGUCGGAUGUGAAAGCCCCGGGCUCAACCUGGGAACUGCAUUCGAUACUGGGCGGCUAGAGUAUGAGAGAGGGAGGUAGAAUUCCACGUGUAGCGGUGAAAUGCGUAGAUAUGUGGAGGAAUACCGGUGGCGAAGGCGGCCUCCUGGUUCAAUACUGACGCUGAGGUGCGAAAGCGUGGGGAGCAAAC
This 250-nucleotide ribosomal RNA is filed under the name uncultured bacterium. RNAcentral's name for it is "partial 16S ribosomal RNA". It matches the Rfam family "Bacterial small subunit ribosomal RNA", at positions 524 to 773 of the family's 1533-position model. The record is from RNAcentral.